Long non-coding RNA from Papaver somniferum (opium poppy), 457 nucleotides. RefSeq lists it as uncharacterized. The record is from RefSeq and is a predicted model, not a curated record. NCBI's taxonomy places the organism in Eukaryota, Viridiplantae, Streptophyta, Magnoliopsida, Ranunculales, Papaveraceae. The transcript is spliced from 3 exons.
GGGAGACAGAGAGAUAUUUUGAGGCGAUUCUUAGAUUCAAUCGUUUGUUCAUCAGAUUUCGGUCUCAGGUUAUCAACCAUGUCUGAGAAGAUUGUGUAUGCUAUCUUGACUCAUGGUGCAUGAAUCAUUUGGUCACAGUUAAUGAAGAUUGUUGGACAUGGAUACGAUGUAGAGAUGAUUACCUCUUGAUUAUUCUAUUUAUAAAUGUUGGUUGUCACUAGGGUAAUUAAGUUUCUUUACCUUCGUAAUUGAACUUGAAACCUUAUUUUGAGCAUAGAUUACCCUAGUAAUGAUGCAGAUGAUAUUCGAAAUUGAUGAUAUGUCACACUUCAAACUCGUUAGAAAUUAUCUGAUUUCAUAUGUUAUAAAUUUAGGGACUCAAGCUCAAAAUGAUUUUAUUCAAUAUGGGAAGGGAUAUUAUUGCUUCAGUACACGAUUCAAGUUGUACAUGUGUAUA